GCCCAAAUUUGGAGGAAGUGCUCUAUUCGACUAGAGGAACAAGUCUACGGUGGCUGAUUUCGUUUUUAACGGCCAAAUCCUCAGAUUUGUGAUGCAGAUAUCACUCCUGAGGAUCCACAGAUGGGACAAGGAGGACUUCAGGAUGCCCCUGGAGCGGUUUAGUGGAAAGGUUUUAUUUUUUUAUUGUGUUGUGGUAUUGAGACCUUGUAAUAAGUGAAUUAUGGAUAAUGUAAUAAGACCUUAGUUUGAUUAAGGGGAUUUUUAUGAAAUUUUAUUUUGGGAUGCAAUGAUGUUUAUUAAAUCUUGAUGUGUUUAAGUAAGGUUUAAAAUAUUGUUAGUUGGUGAGAACCCUAGUGGGACUUAUAUGAAAAAAAAAAAAA
This is a long non-coding RNA of Vitis riparia (riverbank grape), 380 nucleotides long. RefSeq lists it as uncharacterized. The transcript has 2 exons. Lineage: Eukaryota; Viridiplantae; Streptophyta; Magnoliopsida; Vitales; Vitaceae. The record is from RefSeq and is a predicted model, not a curated record.